This 21-nucleotide microRNA is filed under the name Medicago truncatula (barrel medic). RNAcentral's name for it is "mtr-miR5248". Lineage: Eukaryota; Viridiplantae; Streptophyta; Magnoliopsida; Fabales; Fabaceae. The record is from miRBase by way of RNAcentral.
UUUUUAGUUGGCAUGCAUUCA